GCAAGUCGAGCGAACAGAGUUGGAGCGUGCGCCUUUGAUUUUUCGGCGGAGGGGUUUUUGACACGUGGAUAACCUACCUAUAAGUCUGGGUUAUCUUCGGAGGGGCAUAACAGAGAAAGUAACAUAUUGAACCGCAGGUUCAAUAGUGAAAGGCGGCUUUGCUGUCACUUAUAGAUGGAUCCGCGCCGUAUUAGCUAGUUGGUAAGGUAACGGCUUACCAAGGCAACGAUACGUAGCCGACCUGAGAGGGUGAUCGGCCACACUGGAACUGAGACACGGUCCAGACUCCUACGGGAGGCAGCAGUAGGGAAUCUUCCGCAAUGGGCGAAAGCCUGACGGAGCAACGCCGCGUGAGUGAUGAAGGUCUUCGGAUCGUAAAACUCUGUUAUCAGGGAAGAACAAAUGUGUAAGUAACUGUGCACAUCUUGACGGUACCUGAUCAGAAAGCCACGGCUAACUACGUGCCAGCAGCCGCGGUAAUACGUAGGUGGCAAGCGUUAUCCGGAAUUAUUGGGCGUAAAGCGCGCGUAGGCGGUUUUUUAAGUCUGAUGUGAAAGCCCACGGCUCAACCGUGGAGGGUCAUUGGAAACUGGAAAACUUGAGUGCAGAAGAGGAAAGUGGAAUUCCAUGUGUAGCGGUGAAAUGCGCAGAGAUAUGGAGGAACACCAGUGGCGAAGGCGACUUUCUGGUCUGUAACUGACGCUGAUGUGCGAAAGCGUGGGGAUCAAAACAGGAUUAGAUACCCUGGUAGUCCACGCCGUAAACGAUGAGUGCUAAGUGUUAGGGGGUUUCCGCCCCUUAGUGCUGCAGCUAACGCAUUAAGCACUCCGCCUGGGGAGUACGACCGCAAGGUUGAAACUCAAAGGAAUUGACGGGGACCCGCACAAGCGGUGGAGCAUGUGGUUUAAUUCGAAGCAACGCGAAGAACCUUACCAAAUCUUGACAUCCUUUGACCGCUCUAGAGAUAGAGUCUUCCCCUUCGGGGGACAAAGUGACAGGUGGUGCAUGGUUGUCGUCAGCUCGUGUCGUGAGAUGUUGGGUUAAGUCCCGCAACGAGCGCAACCCUUAAGCUUAGUUGCCAUCAUUAAGUUGGGCACUCUAAGUUGACUGCCGGUGACAAACCGGAGGAAGGUGGGGAUGACGUCAAAUCAUCAUGCCCCUUAUGAUUUGGGCUACACACGUGCUACAAUGGACAAUACAAAGGGCAGCUAAACCGCGAGGUCAAGCAAAUCCCAUAAAGUUGUUCUCAGUUCGGAUUGUAGUCUGCAACUCGACUACAUGAAGCUGGAAUCGCUAGUAAUCGUAGAUCAGCAUGCUACGGUGAAUACGUUCCCGGGUCUUGUACACACCGCCCGUCACACCACGAGAGUUUGUAACCACCC
Molecule: ribosomal RNA, 1382 nt
Filed under: Staphylococcus pasteuri
Lineage: Bacteria; Bacillati; Bacillota; Bacilli; Caryophanales; Staphylococcaceae
Description: bacterial SSU rRNA
Rfam family: Bacterial small subunit ribosomal RNA
Source: RNAcentral